Molecule: ribosomal RNA, 253 nt
Filed under: uncultured bacterium
Lineage: Bacteria
Description: partial 16S ribosomal RNA
Rfam family: Bacterial small subunit ribosomal RNA
Source: RNAcentral
UACGGGGGGGGCAAGCGUUGUUCGGAAUUACUGGGCGUAAAGGGCUCGUAGGCGGCCAACUAAGUCAGACGUGAAAUCCCUCGGCUUAACCGGGGAACUGCGUCUGAUACUGGAUGGCUUGAGUUUGGGAGAGGGAUGCGGAAUUCCAGGUGUAGCGGUGAAAUGCGUAGAUAUCUGGAGGAACACCGGUGGCGAAGGCGGUGGUCUGGGCCGGAACUGACGCUGAGGAGCGAAAGCGUGGGGAGCAAACAGG